Molecule: ribosomal RNA, 253 nt
Filed under: uncultured bacterium
Lineage: Bacteria
Description: partial 16S ribosomal RNA
Rfam family: Bacterial small subunit ribosomal RNA
Source: RNAcentral
UACGAAGGUGGCAAGCGUUACUCGGAAUUACUGGGCGUAAAGGGCAGGUAGGUGGUUUGAUAAGUCUGUUGUGAAAGCUCCCGGCUCAACUGGGAGAGGCCAACAGAUACUGUCGGACUUGAGUGUGGGAGAGGAUACUGGAAUUCCCGGUGUAGCGGUGAAAUGCGCAGAGUUCGGGAGGAACACCAAUGGCGAAAGCAGGUAUCUGGACCACUACUGACACUAAGCUGCGAAAGCUAGGGGAGCAAACAGG